UAGGGAAUAUUAGUAAUGGGCGAAAGCCUGAACUAGCAACGCCGCGUGUGCGAAGAAGGCCUUCGGGUUGUAAAGCACUUUUUGAGAGGAUGAGGAAGGACGGUACUCUCAGAAUAAGUCUCGGCUAACUACGUGCCAGCAGCCGCGGUAACACGUAGGAGGCAAACGUUAUCCGGAUUUACUGGGCGUAAAGCGCGUGUAGGUGGUUUGGUAAGUAGGGCGUGAAAGCUCCUGGCUCAACUGGGAGAGGCCGUUCUAAACUGCCGAACUAGAGGAUGGUAGAGGGAGGUGGAAGUCCGGGUGUAGCGGUGGAAUGCGCAGAGAUCCGGAGGAACACCAGUGGCGAAAGCGGCCUCCUGGACCAUUCCUGACACUCAGACGCGAAAGCUAGGG
RNAcentral lists this ribosomal RNA (393 nucleotides) under uncultured bacterium. RNAcentral describes it as "bacterial SSU rRNA". It matches the Rfam family "Bacterial small subunit ribosomal RNA", at positions 355 to 765 of the family's 1533-position model. The record is from RNAcentral.